This 253-nucleotide ribosomal RNA is filed under the name uncultured bacterium. RNAcentral describes it as "partial 16S ribosomal RNA". It matches the Rfam family "Bacterial small subunit ribosomal RNA", at positions 524 to 776 of the family's 1533-position model. The record is from RNAcentral.
UACGAAGGGGGCUAGCGUUGUUCGGAAUUACUGGGCGUAAAGCGUUUGUAGGCGGUUAUCUAAGUCAGUGGUGAAAGCCCAGGGCUCAACCCUGGAAUUGCCAUUGAAACUGGAUAGCUAGAGAGUGUUAGAGGAAAGUGGAAUUCCUAGUGUAGGAGUGAAAUCCGUAGAGAUUAGGAGGAAUAUCGAUGGCGAAGGCAGCUUUCUGGGACAUUUCUGACGCUGAGAAACGAAAGCGUGGGUAGCAAACAGG